Molecule: long non-coding RNA, 397 nt
Filed under: Trifolium pratense (red clover)
Lineage: Eukaryota; Viridiplantae; Streptophyta; Magnoliopsida; Fabales; Fabaceae
Description: long non-coding RNA (TPRA_LNC008242)
Source: RNAcentral
AUUGAUGGUCAAUCUAUUCCAAAAAAAUGGUCAAUGUAUUGAUUACACAAAAUAUUACUCCCUGCGUUUUUUUAUAAGUGUCCAGUUUCAUCAAAUUUAGCGUUUCUAAUUGCAGAAAUUAUGAAAGAAUGCCAAAUUUAUUAAUAUAUGAUUAAAAAUAUAAGUCUCGUAGAAAUCAGAAAAAAAAUAUAGGUUCUCGCGUUAAUAUCUGAGUAUAAAUUUAGGUCCUACAUAAAUUAUUAAAGAUCAAGAAACCUUAUUAAUAAGAGGAAAAUCAUAGGACCCGCAGAAUUCACACAAAAGAUUAUGUCCCCGUAUAAAUAUAUGAGUAUAAUACGUAAAAUUAUAAAAAACAAUAAACAACUUUAUUAAUAUAUGAUUAAAAAUAUAAUGCCCG